This is a small nucleolar RNA of Drosophila kikkawai, 141 nucleotides long. RefSeq annotates it as small nucleolar RNA psi18S-1377. Lineage: Eukaryota; Metazoa; Arthropoda; Insecta; Diptera; Drosophilidae. The record is from RefSeq and is a predicted model, not a curated record.
CCGUUUUUGUGUUAUUUGCUGGUUGUUAUAACCAAACCCAGUGAUUGUCAAACUAAACGUAGACCAAAGGCAGCUAAUCACUCCAUAAUGUUUAUUCUACUUAAGCCAGGAAUUGAGCAUUACUAAAUGUAUGCCACAAGC